Molecule: ribosomal RNA, 492 nt
Filed under: uncultured bacterium
Lineage: Bacteria
Description: partial 16S ribosomal RNA
Rfam family: Bacterial small subunit ribosomal RNA
Source: RNAcentral
AGUGAACGCUGGCGGUAGGCCUAACACAUGCAAGUCGAACGGCAGCACAGUAAGAGCUUGCUCUUACGGGUGGCGGGUGGCGGACGGGUGAGGAAUACAUCGGAAUCUACUUUUUCGUGGGGGAUAACGUAGGGAAACUUACGCUAAUACCGCAUACGACCUACGGGGGAAAGCAGGGGAUCUUCGGACCUUGCGCGAUUGAAUGAGCCGAUGUCGGAUUAGCUAGUUGGCGGGGUAAAGGCCCACCAAGGCGACGAUCCGUAGCUGGUCUGAGAGGAUGAUCAGCCACACUGGAACUGGGACACGGUCCAUACUCCUACGGGAGGCAGCAGUGGGGAAUAUUGGACAAUGGGCGCAAGCCUGAUCCAGCCAUACCGCGUGGGUGAAGAAGGCCUUCGGGUUGUAAAGCCCUUUUGUUGGGAAAGAAAAGCAGCAGGUUAAUACCCCGCUGUUCUGACGGUACCCAAAGAAUAAGCACCGGCUAACUUCGUG